CACAGAUUAGGCUGGAAUUAUCGGAGGAGCGAGCGUCUCCUUUAAUCUCUGCUUUGAUCUGAGUCGUGUUAUUGCUGUUUUCCUCCUGCUGAAGGAGCCACUCCGCACCUUGACUGUGCAGCUUCUUAACCGCAUCACAAAAUGGAUUUAUACACGACUGCUACACAGAAUGCGCCAAAUGCAAAUACACAGGCGUCAUCAGGUCUGGGUUGAGACCUGAUGAAGAGGCGACGCUCCACACAGGUGAAUUCAUCUUCAGUCACACAGACAUUUGCAAAUGGAAAAGUAAAUUAUAAUUGAGCGAGUACAGUAGGUGAUAAGAAUGUGACCUAGAGGUAAAUAUUACAGUACAUCACAGUAACACAAACCUGAAGCAGAUUCAGUUUGACUAAUGCCACAUCACAAAAUAAUCGUUUCAACUUCACAUUUUGCGGUCAAGACCUGAGAGACUUAAGAAGAGAGAAACCCGAAGGUCCCUCCAGAGCAAACAGAGUGGAACCAGAGUGGAAAGAGCAAGAGCUCUUAAACAGAAGCAGAGUCCAGCGGAGCCGGGCUCAGGGUCGGCAGCCGCCAGGAGGAUGUGGAGAAAGAAAGAUGACGGGAAACAACAGCAGCAUCAGGGAGCGCGGCCUGCGUGAGCAGGGAACUAUACAGGAGCCGCUCGUUAAAAUAUAAGCAAUGCCACGCGCAUUCUCCAUGAUAAUGAAUGAGUGGCUGCUUAAACAGAAGAAGGCAACACUGAGAUUUUAUUCAUUUGACUUCACUAACGCUCACCCAUGCAUGAAAUAGCUGUAAUUGGAAACUGUGGAUGACGGUGGGGUUUUUAAUCUGUAUAUAAGGCAAAUAUGGCUCUCAUUGUUGGUGACGAUGAUCUUCUAGCUGCUGCUUUCCAGCUAAUUACCUUGCGAUGUUCCACGUACACAGUGCAGUCUGACAGCAGGUAAUUAGGCCCAGAGGAAGACCUUACGGCCCACGGCAGCUGCUGGUACCAAGCAGCCCUUCCAGCUCAAAGUUCAGGACUCCAGGCAGCGACUAAGCAGGCAGGUCAAACCCAGGCAAGAACACAGUGAGUCAGAGGCUGGAGAAGAAAAGUUAGGAAACAGGGGAAGAGCAUCGACUACCAGGCAGGACAGCACAAACCCACUGGGGCUGAUGAGUAAUGGGGGUCAGUGGAGGCAGCUAGUGGGCAGGUGAGGAACAGCAGGUGCUCCUCAUGUGACUCACACCUGUGCCUCCUCUACAGGCGCUAUCAGUAAUGAGUAACCGUGAGUCAUGGCUGUGCUGCUAAUAUAAAACCAGGAGGGUCGAAGUCCUGUGUGUGUGUGUGGGGCCAUCAGAGAAAUCUUCUCUCUCCAGAAAACGCCUACCUGAGAAAUCGCAUCCAUCGACUCUAACGGCUGCAACCAGUCAAGUGCACGACACGCGUGAGUGCAUGAAAUGUGCAGUUAUCAGCUUAAACAAACUCCAGAAGCAACCUCCUCUGAAAUUCCUAGCUUCCAACAUUAGGCCUGGAGCUCAAGGGCUUCAGGCUUUGACAAGCUGCCGUUGGACUUCCACCAGCGGCCCCCUGCUGGGCUCCAUCCUAAACCAGCUUCAGAGGCCUCCUUUGUUUUCUAACCAUCAGUCCAUUAAAAUCCCAGCGUGACACUGUGGGAGCACGCAGAGGUUGCUGGGGAUGAGACCGCGCCACCUUAAACACAGCGCCGCCUUAAACAGCCCGCGUUCAAUGGUGCUUUUUAGGACGCGGCGGGGAGCCGCUGGCCAUAAUCAGGGGGGUCCAGGCGGCAGUCAGGUGUGAAGCGUCUGACAGACAGCGAGGAAGUGCGUGGGACCAGUACCACCACCCGCCGCUUCACUGGAACACUGUGGGGGUGGAGGGACAGCUGCAACAAACACCAGGAGAGGAGGAACCAGGAAGUCGGCGUCUGCGAAGGCGUGAGAUCAACAAAACCCCACCGUCAGGAAUGCGUCGCGUUCGUCCCCGCGUGUGAAUGAGCAGCGUCCUCUUCUACUGCGGCAUGCGUUAAAUGUACAUUGCACAUUAUUUAUGCAUAUAUUCAGCCUGUUGUCCUUUAAAUAUGCAAAUUGUGCUGCAAUGACCGCAUUCAUCAAACGGCCUCAGCCGUAACGACCACAUUGUUCCCGCUGCUGGAACGGGGAACACCUGUAUCCCGGUCUGUGUGCGAUCUGUGCAGCUUCUUCUGUUUUAAAUCCAGAUUUAUGACUUCAGCCCUCAGUGCGUGAAGCAUUUAGCGCUCUCCGUCUACAACUGGAACCAGUAGGUUCUAAAAUGACGCUCUUUAUAUUUGCAUGGCUGCUUCUGAUAAUGGGCGAGGUUUGUGCCGGGCCCAUGACCACCCUGCUCCGUGGCCCCUCAGCGGGAGAGUCAUUCAUCAGGGCUCCUCACGCCGCGACUCUGCCGCUUCAGGCCUCUCCCACUUUAUUUUCCCUACAUGAACACAUCCAGGGAAGAUUUCCAGCCCGCGCUCUUUCCUUCUCCAUUGUCGCUCGCACGUGCGGCCCCGUGUUCCGCCGCUAAUUAGAAGGUGGAGGAGAUCACAUGCACGAUGACAAAUGAAUCCCCACAAGGCUGCUGCUAGAGAUUACACCUCUCAGUGUAAACACGCAACCGCUAACAUGCCUCAGAAGAUGACUUUUGUCUGCUGCUAGCUCAUCCCAUAGACGGUUGAUACAGUAGACUAGUGCUGAGUUCAGCUAAUGAGUAAUAGAAACCGAAAAUAGAACAGAGACACAGUCAGCUGCGAAUAGCGGAGACACUAUGGAUCAUAAAAAGUCCUGUACUGUACGAAAUAACUGCUUAAUUAUAAUUUCCAGCAAGUGAAAAUCGGAACGUUGGCCUGAGUUGCUGUGGUGCUGGAGAGAGCAACAUGUGCGGCCGCUCCCGUGCUGCUUGAGCUCUAAUCUGAGUCUAUUUCUUCCCGUCGCCACGCUGAGGACCCGUGGAUCCGCGCUGACCCGCCUGCGGUGGACGCUGGGGUCUCUGCACGACGGCUCCUCUUCUCUGAGGAGGAGCUCCAGCAAAACAUGACCUUUACCGCAGACACGUAACAGCAGAUCCUGACAAAGCCUCUUUGGAUCCCCCACUUGGUGGAUUGGCCGGUGAAGACCAGCGAGCGUAUGCUUGGGCAGCAUCAGCUGACGGGGCUUACGGGAGCCUCGUUGGAAACACACUCCAUCACGCUGCCACCUCCACUGAUGUUCGCCUGACACCGGCUCCUUUCUCCCCGAAGUGCUGCUUAAAUCACUGUGUCCACCUGGAUUCUCGACUGCGGCGCGAACGGAGCCGCUGGCAUUUCGCCCGACAGUUACUGUCAUUCACACUGGGGAGAAUAAAUGACUCCAAACAGGAAAAAAAAAAGUUCAACCCAGACUUCAUUUACACAAAGAAACAGCCGCUAUAUUUCGCUGAAACUGUGCCCUCUAGAAAAGCGGCGGCAUCAGUCAUUUCAGCGAGUCUCUACAACCUGUGUUUAUGUUCGAGCGGCGACGGCCUGUGGCUGCGAGAAACCCCAUCGCUGUCACGAGUUCUAUGGACGAGUCAGAGAGCGCAGAUAGUGACAGAUGUCUGGUUCCCGACACUAAACAGUGAACACAUCCUUUAACAAACCGGACCCACUCUCUCAGUCAGUCACUGUACUUCUUACAGGUUCAUACAAAAGACUAGUAGAAUAAUAGGUUGGUAAAAUCACACUGGGCUGUUUCAAGUCACCUAAAAGCCCCACAGUCACUUACAGUUAGAAUGUGAAUAAUGUCUUGUUUUGACAAGCUCCAACACAAAAGACCUUCUAAUUUUACCCUUUUCCCCCAUUUCCAACUUUGUUUAACUAGUUACGCUGAACUAAACAUUGGAGCCGAGAGAACGGGGAAACAAAGCAAAUAACCUGCGAAGUGCACGAGGACGAGGCGAGUACUGGGAAUCGGUGUUUGUGCACCGUUUAUCUGAUUUGUCUCAGGACGAUGUAAAAAGCAGAGUUUGCUUCGAUCUGAUAAUCAGGGUACUAGGAAAAAGACUAAUGAACUGCUCACAGGAAGUCUGCUGGUUUCCCAGUAAGAGCCGCGCAGGGGAGUGGUCUCUGAUCAGCGCUAAUUGGCCUUCUAAGGCCUGAUUAAUGCAUCGACAGGCCAGCGGAGUAAUUGGUUGCCUUCAGUCGGGCUGGAGUCAUCAGCGACCUAGCAAAACAUCGGCAAGUGUGAUUCAUCAACGCUUUCAUCACAAUACAGAUCAAUGGAGAUUGUUUGAUGGGUGAUUAGUCGUCAAUUCAAUCACACGCAGACGGCCCUGAAAUGACACCAGCGGUCGGUUCCAGAUGCGGGUGAGGGAUCGGGCCAAAACAACUGACAAAGACACAAAAGAUGAUGCGGAUGCUUCACAAACACAGGGAGUUAAUCCACUGUCAUUCUUCUAUUCACGUCGCACUAAAUCUCUGUUAUGUUGCCGCUAACGCAAAGCAAACAUUUUCUGCAUCUGAAGACGAGCGACGCGUCAAAGGAUGCGGCGCCGCUGUCGCCACGGUUACCGCAGGUCUCGACGGCGACGCGAGCGGCUCGAGGAGCAUCCGACUGGUGUUAAACUGCGCGUCAGGUGUUGUCAAAGCUACCUGAGCUGAAACAGUAGCAGGAAUGAGGCUUCAAAGUUGAAAUGUGCUGCGGGGAACAGAGAGCGCCAGCGCAACAAACCAGGACGGAUGCUCUGAUGUGAAUCUGCCUGACGGGAAAUCUUCUCAGCGUUGCAGGCUAAGAGAGCGGUGACGACACAGUUCGUUAGCGCGUGUGGAUCUUGGCUCGCCGCGGCCGCCAUAUGUCGGUGGAUCAGCAGAAAACUGGACAGAGACUGAAAUAACCGGCGCAAAGCGCUAAACCACUUGGCCCGCUCACCGAGAGCAGAUUAGUCACAUAAUCACAGGCUAAUAAUGCCCCAAUCUGCAAGAUUAGUAUAAAAUCAUGUUAAUCUGCGGCAGCGAUGCUUUUGUCUUGGUUGCGAACAACUGUGCCCUGUUGGAGGAAGGAAGUUGGUUCAAGUUGGUUCAUUUUCUAGUGUUGGAUGGAAAAGGUAUUGGUGCUGAUUAAA
Molecule: long non-coding RNA, 5089 nt
Organism: Betta splendens (Siamese fighting fish)
Lineage: Eukaryota; Metazoa; Chordata; Actinopteri; Anabantiformes; Osphronemidae
Exons: 3
Source: RefSeq, a predicted model, not a curated record